Molecule: non-coding RNA, 334 nt
Organism: Chelonoidis abingdonii (Abingdon island giant tortoise)
Lineage: Eukaryota; Metazoa; Chordata; Testudines; Testudinidae
Source: RefSeq, a predicted model, not a curated record
GAGUGACAUCACCCUUGUCCAAUCAGUGUCCGCCGCUCCCCCUACCCCAAUCGGCCCAGCUGGUCGCGAGCCCCCAGUGCGGGCUGGGAAAGGCCGGGCCCGUGUCCCGCAGGCUGGCUGGGCGCGCAGAGCAGAGCAGAGCAGGGUGCGGUACUCCCAGGUGUUUGCAGCGGAAGUGGGGGCUGCACUAGGUGACAGCUCCGCUGUGCAGUAGCAGCAGCAUUGCACAGGUAAUGAUUCUGGAUCUGUACUGAAACAGUUUACUACAUAUAGUAAAGAAGGGCCAUCGUGGACCUGAGAAUCCUUCAAACUAAUGCUUUGUUGAAACAGGUAA